Electrophorus electricus (electric eel) is the source of this 128-nucleotide small nucleolar RNA. Its record names the gene SNORD22. It matches the Rfam family "Small nucleolar RNA SNORD22". Rfam says of the family: U22 is a member of the C/D class of snoRNA which contain the C (UGAUGA) and D (CUGA) box motifs. U22 is encoded within the U22 snoRNA host gene (UHG) in mammals and has also been identified in Xenopus. The record is from Ensembl. NCBI's taxonomy places the organism in Eukaryota, Metazoa, Chordata, Actinopteri, Gymnotiformes, Gymnotidae.
GCUUGGUGAUGAAACGUGCACGUGUCUUACGCCUUGUCUCAACACUAGAACCUGAAAAGGUGAACCCACUGGUGUUGCCAGGGCAACAAGGGGAUAGCCUGUUGGGGUUGCCAAUGGUCUGACUGGCC